Mya arenaria is the source of this 324-nucleotide long non-coding RNA. RefSeq lists it as uncharacterized. The record is from RefSeq and is a predicted model, not a curated record. NCBI's taxonomy places the organism in Eukaryota, Metazoa, Mollusca, Bivalvia, Myida, Myidae. The transcript is spliced from 3 exons.
CAAAGCUGAAAUGGCUGCCUGACCUGACUUAAAAAUUGGAUUGCAGUACAUCAGACUAGAAGAUUACAAGUAUUGAGGUGGACAAAAUGAAACCUGAGCCUACCAAAGCUGACAGAUUGCACAAGAAACACAUAAAUGCAGAAACCAUAUUGAGGAGCUGGUCAACCUGUAGGAAGAAUUGCGCUAUUGGUUAGAGCAGCACUAUUACCCAGCCAUACACCAGCACUUAGUUUGUCAUAGGGAGCAUUUCUGAGCAGUUAUGGAGACCACUAACUAUGCAGUUGUUGCAGUGAAACUUGCACCAGUGUGUUUUCUGUGGAGAUA